RNAcentral lists this ribosomal RNA (409 nucleotides) under Verrucomicrobiota bacterium. RNAcentral's name for it is "Verrucomicrobia bacterium partial 16S ribosomal RNA". It matches the Rfam family "Bacterial small subunit ribosomal RNA", at positions 355 to 776 of the family's 1533-position model. Lineage: Bacteria; Pseudomonadati; Verrucomicrobiota. The record is from RNAcentral.
UGGGGAAUAUUGCACAAUGGGCGGAAGCCUGAUGCAGCGACGCCGCGUGAGGGAUGACGGCCUUCGGGUUGUAAACCUCUUUCAGUAGGGACGAAGCGUAAGUGACGGUACCUGCAGAAGAAGCACCGGCUAACUACGUGCCAGCAGCCGCGGUAAUACGUAGGGUGCGAGCGUUGUCCGGAAUUACUGGGCGUAAAGAGCUCGUAGGCGGUUUGUCACGUCGUCUGUGAAAUCCUAGGGCUUAACCCUGGACGUGCAGGCGAUACGGGCUGACUUGAGAACUACAGGGGAGACUGGAAUUUCUGGUGUAGCGGUGGAAUGCACAGAUAUCAGGAAGAACACCGAUGGCGAAGGCAGGUCUCUGGGUAGUAACUGACGCUGAGGAGCGAAAGCAUGGGUAGCGAACAGG